RNAcentral lists this long non-coding RNA (1238 nucleotides) under Numida meleagris (helmeted guineafowl). RNAcentral describes it as "lncRNA (ENSNMEG00000006570.1)". Lineage: Eukaryota; Metazoa; Chordata; Aves; Galliformes; Numididae. The record is from RNAcentral.
ACGUGCCCCAUGGGAAUACACGCAUGCCCCCCCACGUGUACACGGGCAUAGACAGGUGCCCACGUACCCCCACGUGUGAACACUGGUGAACGUGUGCCCCAAUGCGUGUCCACACGCGUGAUCCCUCGUGGCCGCGUCUGCGCGCGUCCCCCUCAGACACGCGUGUGCCUGCACCCGUGUCCCCUCAUGUGUGGGUCUGUGCGUGUCCUCUAGGUACGUGGCCCACGUUUGUAGCAAUGCGUGUGUCCCCAUGCACACGUGUGUCCCCUCCAUGUGUCCCCAUGUGCACAUGUGUGUCCCCUCUAUGUGUCUGUGUCCCCUUGUACAUGUGUGUCCCCUCUGUGUCUGUGUCCCCAUGCACACGUGUGCCCCCUCCAUGUGUCUCUAUGUGUCCCCAUGUACACGUGUGUCCCCUCCAUGUGUCCCUAUGUACACGUGUGUCUCCUCCAUGUGUUCCCAUGUACAUGCAUGUCCCCUCCCUGUGUCCCCAUGCACAUGUGUGUCCCCUCUGUGUGUGUCUGUGUCUCCAUGUACACAUGUCCCCUCCAUGUGCCCCUAUGUACAGGUGUGCCCCCUCCAUGUGUCUCUAUGUGUCCCUAUGUACACGUGUGUCCCCUCCUUGUGCCUAUAUGCGUCCCCAUCUACACAUGUGUCCCCUCUGUGCCUCAGUUUCCCCAGGUACACGUGUGCUCCUCUGUGUCUCUGUGUGUCCUCAUGUACAUGUGUGUCACCUCCCUGUUUCCCCAUGCACACUUGUGUCCUCUCCAUGUGUCCCCAUGUACACAUGUGUCCCCUCUAUGUGUCUCUAUGUGUCCCCACACACACGUGUGUCCCCUCCAUGUGUCCCCAUGAACACGUGUGUCCCCUCCAUGAGUCCCUGUGUCCCCACGUACACGUGUCCCUCUAUGUCUGUGUCCCCACAUACACGUGUGUCCCCUCCAUGUGUCCCCAUGUACAUGUCUGUCCCCUCCUUGUGUCCCCAUGCACACGUGUGCCCCAUGUCUCUAUGUGUCCCCCCGUACACAUGUCCCCUCCGUGUCUCUACACACGUCCCCCCAUGUACACACGUGUCCAUAUGUCCCUCCCAUGUACACAUCCCCCACGUGUCUAUACACCCGUGUCCCCCCCAUCCCUAUGCCCCUAUACGUGUGCCCCAUGUACCUGAGUGUCCAUAUGGAUGUCCCCCAUGGAUGUGUCCCCACAUGCCCCCCCCAUAGACACGUGGUACACCCACCUAC